UGUCAUCACACAAUUUCACAACAGGAAAUAUUCCACUACACUCCUGUCUGGGAAGUAAAUGUGUGUGUGUGUGUUUCUUUUUUGUAUUUGACCUAAAAUUCACUUUGACAAACUGGUUUUUAAACAAGUUUUUUAAUCAUCAAACGUUAAAAUAUUAACCCGCCAUUUUCUCGUGUAAAUGCAGCAGGUGUGUGUUACUGUGUUACUGUGUUACCGUGUUGUUGUCAUGGCCGUGGCUGCAGGAACAGAAGUGUUUUGCUGUAACAUCCAACGGACGUUCUCAUGACAGAGGAAUGUGCUCUUCUUGUAAACAUACAUCGACCCCCUGCAAGUGCUUCCCCUCUUCCCUCCCAUCCCUCCCAUCCCUCCUCUCUAAGCUGGGUGUCCCUUUGCCCACCCCAGUCUCCAUCACCCUGUCAAUACACCCUACACCACCCCUCCACCCCCCCCCGGCCCUGCCUCUGCCAGUCUCAUGUGUGAACCCCACAGCUGCCUCCUCCUCUGGUCGUCCUCUGGUUCCCACGUAGAACUGAGACUCACAGUGAAGACUAGCAGCGGCCCUGCUUUUCAUCCAGGGCCUCUUCCCUCUGAACAUGCUUGUGUGAAACUGUGAUGCAGCAGAAGGUGCCCUACUUUUAAACUUCAUUCUUCUCCAUGAGAGAAAGGGGCAAACAGACCAAGAGCAGGGCCACAACAUUCAUGUUCGUUGGUAGAGGGUUGGAGCUGUUGGUUGAUGAACGUGCUGCCAAAGGUAUUCAGUCGGACUGGUGUCCAAAGUUUCCUCCCCGCUCUUUGACCCGGAAGUAGAAGGAGACGACGUAGAAGCUGCAGCACUGUUGCCUGAAACCACAACAGCCAUGUUCUUAUCUCAUUUGUCUGGGAGCAACCACGUGUGCCCCGAGUUACUUUUACCAUUAACAGCACUUGUGUUGUAUUUGUUUCACAGUAAAUCAGUCCUUCACUUAGCACUGUUAGCAAUGUUUCACCAUUUUUUUAGGUUUCACUAACAGUGGGUGUGUCUCCGUCCAGGGUUUUCUUUCCAAUUUAUCUCUGGAACGUGGUGAACUCCAAGGUGAUGUCACUCCCAGCUCCGACUGCUGAGUUCCAAUGGAAACGGAGCACAGCAUUAUCCCUAACCCUAAACCAGAACCUAACCACGUUUGAAAAAGAGACA
Molecule: long non-coding RNA, 1174 nt
Organism: Solea senegalensis (Senegalese sole)
Lineage: Eukaryota; Metazoa; Chordata; Actinopteri; Pleuronectiformes; Soleidae
Exons: 3
Source: RefSeq, a predicted model, not a curated record